Molecule: ribosomal RNA, 542 nt
Filed under: uncultured bacterium
Lineage: Bacteria
Description: bacterial SSU rRNA
Rfam family: Bacterial small subunit ribosomal RNA
Source: RNAcentral
GGCGUGCUUAACACAUGCAAGUCUAGGGGAAAGUUUUCUUCGGAGAAUGAGUACACUGGCGCACGGGUGAGUAAUAUAUAAGUAACCUACCUUGUGGAUUGGAAUAACGUAGAGAAAUUUGCGCUAAUACCGAAUGAUGCAGCGGCACCGCAUGGUGAUGUUGUUAAAGUCAUUUAUGGCGCCACAAGAUGGGCUUGUAUUCGAUUAGCUAGUUGGUGGGGUAAUAGCCCACCAAGGCAACGAUCGAUAGCUGGUCUGAGAGGAUGAUCAGCCACACUGGAACUGAGACACGGUCCAGACUCCUACGGGAGGCAGCAGUGAGGAAUAUUGGGCAAUGCCCGCAAGGGUGACCCAGCAACGCCGCGUGGAGGAUGAAUGCCGUAAGGUUGUAAACUCCUUUUGGAGGGGACGAAAAAAUAAGUUGGUAGCUUAUAUUGACUGUACCCUCAGAAAAAGCCCCGGCUAACUACGUGCCAGCAGCCGCGGUAAUACGUAGGGGCCAGCGUUGUCCGGAUUUACUGGGUGUAAAGGGCGCGUAGGCG